CACUUGGGCUCGCGUCCUCGGCCGCGCCGCGCGGCACCCGGGCCCAGCAGCCGGGAGGCGGCAGCUCUCCUCUACGCCCGUCCCCUCAGGGCGGCUGUGGAUGUUGCCAGUAUUGUCGAUGCUUCAGAGCGACGUUUGCCCUGCGACACAGGCGGGCCGGCUCUCCUCUGUCUUUAUUUUCCUGGAGGCCGACAGGAGCGGGGCCCGAGUUCGGUGGUGGUCGUGAGCGUGGGGGGCACUCAGGCCCGGACGGGCUCUCAGGUCGCCGACGGCGGCGGCUGGAGGCCGCGCUGGCUGUCCCAGGUCGUCGUUAGCUUUAGGGAGCCGAUCUCCGGGCGGCCCCACAGAGGACGCCCGCGAUUCGAUGGCGAUGAUGCCCGUUUUAAAUGGUGUCCCUGCAGCCGGGUGGAUGGAUGGAUCGUACACCUUGCCUUUUGAGAGCCGGGACCUUACGCCCGACUGCGUGUUAUUUCUGCGAAUAAGAACGCAACCUUUGGAGGUGAAGACGACUGUCGGCUGGAUUGAAUUGGAAUCGUGUUUGUGAUGAUGCGUUUAUUUCUGGAAAUACGCGGUCUCCGCUGCUUUUGCUUUUUGUCGGCAGAGGUUUGGGUUCUUCUCUAACGGUCAGGAUAAAGGCCUGUAGGCGACGCUGCGCGAGCGAGAAGCUCGCCCGCGGCUGCCCGGGCGCCCCCCUCUAGGUGUGGGUGGAGCCGAGCGCGCGGGGAGAACCGCCGGCCCCGACUCAGCCACCGGUGACUGCGGGCGACCCGCGGGCCUGCGGCCAGCUGAUUUCAAACAUCGUUUUCCUCUUUAGGUUCGGAAAACUGAGGCGCUGGACAAGGCUGGAAUACAAUAUGUGAUUAUACGUACAGUACUAUGGUUGUUGUAGUUUUUAAAUUGUAAAACAAGAAGUAACCAUUGUUCCACCGUUCUCUAUUAAGUUUGUGUAAAUUAAAAAGGGGCUAUUUUCGGUAAAAAGUGCAGUAGGUGUGGUGGUGUCGACCUGUCAUCCCAGCUACUUGAGAGGCUGAAGGGGGAGGAUCGCUUGAGCCCAGGAGGUAGAGGCUGCAGUGAGUCAUGAUGGCACCACUGCACUCCAGCCUGGGUGACAGAGUGAGAGCCUGUCUCAACAACCAGAAAAAAAGUAUUUAGUUUUACAGUAUUACAAAGUAGUGUCACAUUAGUUUAAUGAGGUUUAUUUAUACAAAGGUGUAAAAUUAUGGGCCAAGUACUAGCCUUCAAGUAAUUUCGAAGUCAGCGAGAAUACUGGUAUAUAACGGAUCAAACUUUGUUCAAGAACCAAAGGCUAUUGUUCAACGAAUGGUGCUGAGACAACUGCAAAAGACUAGGACCCUUACCUCACAUGCAAAAGACUGGGACCCUUACCUCACACCAUUUUGCAAAAAUUAGCUCAAAAUGGAUCAAUGACCUAAAUGUAAGAGAAAACCUAUAAAAUUCUCAGAAAAAAACAGAAGGAUAAAUUUGUAUAACCUUGGAUUUGACAGGAUUCUUAGCUAUGACAACAAAAACACAAGCCUCCAGAAGCAAGCAAACAAAAACACCAUAAACUGGACUUCAUCAAAAUUGAAAACUUUAGUGGUUCAAAAGACACCAUCAAGAAAGUGAAAAAAUCCACAGAAUAGGAAAGAUAUUUGCAAAUCAUGUAUCUGAUAAGGGAUCUAUGUCUAUAAUAUGUAACGAACUCUUAAUAAAAAAUAACCCCACUUAAAAUGGGCAAUGAAUCUAAAUAGACAUUUCUCCAAAGAAGAAAUGCAAAUGGCCAAUAAGUACAUGAAAAGAUGCUUGACAUCACCAGAGAAAAGCAAAUAAAGAAACUGCAAGGUUUUCAUUCUUCUUCACUUACAAGGCUUCAUUCUCACUAUGAUAGCCAGAAUAAAAAAGUCAGAUAACAACAAUUAUUGGCAAAGAUAUAGAGGAAAACUGCAAACCUUAUACAUUCUGAUAGGAGUGUAAAAUGGUGCAGCCACUUUGGAAAACAGUCUGGCAGUUCCUCAAGUGAUUAAACAUCUAGUUACUAUAUGACCCAGCAAUUCUACUACUAGGUAUAUACCCAAGAGAAAUGAAACCAUAUGUCCACACAGAAACUUGUACACAUUUGUUUACAGAAGCAUUAUUCAGAAUCACCAAAAGGUGGAAACAACCCAAAUGUCCAUCAACUGACACAUGCAAAAGUAAAAUAUGGUAUCCAUAUAAUGGUAUAUUAUGGUAUAUAAAAGAAUGAAGUACUGAUACAUGCUGCAACAUGAAUGGAUCCUGAAAUCAUUAUGUUAAGUGAAGGAAGCUAGUCACAAAAGACCAUAUGUUAUAUGAUUGCAUUCAAAUGAAUGGAAUAUGGAAAUCUAUGCAGACAGAAAGUAGAUUACUGGCUGUUUAAAGCUGAGGGUGGGAGCAUGGGUGGGCAGGGGAAUAGCUAAAGGGUACAGAGUUUCUUUCCGAGGUAAUGAAAAUGCUCUAAAAUUGACUGUAGUGAUGAUUGCACAUAUCUGUGAAUAUACUAAAAACCACUGAAUUGUACACUUUAAAUGGGUGAAUUGUAUGGUAUGUGAAUUCUAUUUCAAUGAAACUGUU
This 2589-nucleotide long non-coding RNA is filed under the name Homo sapiens (human). RNAcentral's name for it is "NIPBL divergent transcript". The record is from RNAcentral. Lineage: Eukaryota; Metazoa; Chordata; Mammalia; Primates; Hominidae.